RNAcentral lists this long non-coding RNA (446 nucleotides) under Malus domestica (apple). RNAcentral's name for it is "long non-coding RNA (MDOM_LNC016735)". The record is from RNAcentral. Lineage: Eukaryota; Viridiplantae; Streptophyta; Magnoliopsida; Rosales; Rosaceae.
UCUAACUAAUCCAUCCACCAUCUUAUUUCUCAAAUUCGUUUUAUAAUCUGCCUAGCUAAAAAUCUAUUUAAGUUUUAGUUUAUUUGUUUUACUUUCAACUUCACCAACCCAAAUCCCCCUUUUACUUUCUUGUUUUAAAGUCUUUUGUUUACAUUUUUAACUUUGUUUCUUUUUGUUUUUGAGUCAGUUUAGAGGUUUUAGCAAACCCUCCUAAUCCUCGGUUUAGAACGAUCCCUACUUACAUACUUUGCUACAAUUGUCAAAAGAGGGUUUAAUUUGUGUGCUUAUAUUAUUCGCAUCAAUGUUGAAGUGAUAAACCACUUAACGAGACGGAAACUAGGCAAGGACUUCACCUUUAUGUCCCUAUACUUAUGGUUCACUAAGUUUAUUGUAAACUAUGUAGUGAACAAUAACCACAUGCUCUCCAAAAUGUUUGAUGUGUAUAA